CCAUGAAUUAUAAAAAUGAGGAAGAGCCUUU
RNAcentral lists this non-coding RNA (31 nucleotides) under Mus musculus (house mouse). Lineage: Eukaryota; Metazoa; Chordata; Mammalia; Rodentia; Muridae. The record is from RNAcentral.